RNAcentral lists this ribosomal RNA (480 nucleotides) under uncultured bacterium. RNAcentral's name for it is "partial 16S ribosomal RNA". It matches the Rfam family "Bacterial small subunit ribosomal RNA", at positions 28 to 523 of the family's 1533-position model. The record is from RNAcentral.
GAUGAACGCUAGCAGAACGCUUAACACAUGCAAGUCGAACGAAUGUAUUGUCUUCGGAUAAUACGUUAGUGGCAAACGGGCGAGUAACGCGUAUCUAACCUGCCCUUGUGUGAGGCAAAACUAUGGAGACAUAGCUAAUUCCUCAUACGCUCUAAGAAAUGAAAAUACUUAGAGGAAAGAUUUAUCGCACAAGGAGGGGGAUGCGUCCUAUCAGGUAGUUGGUGAGGUAACUGCUCACCAAGCCUAUGACGGGUAGCCGGCCUGAGAGGGUGACCGGCCACACUGGGACUGAGACACGGCCCAGACUCCUACGGGAGGCAGCAGUGGGGAAUAUUGGACAAUGGGCGAAAGCCUGAUCCAGCAACGCCGCGUGAGGGAUGACGGCCUUCGGGUUGUAAACCUCUUUCAGCAGGGACGAAGCGAGAGUGACGGUACCUGCAGAAGAAGGACCGGCCAACUACGUGCCAGCCGCCGCGGUAA